CGUGAAAUGAAUCUUGCCCCUAACAUUAAAAGAUGCUUAUUAGCUAGAUGCUAGAUGCACCAAAAAAGCUUGGGAAAAAGUCUGAAAAUGUAAUAGACUUUUCCUCUUUUUGCAAAGACAAACCCCAAACCCUUCUUAUAGCGGGAGAAUUCAUAUUUAUAUUGCCCAUACAUGUUGCUUCAAGCUACAAAAUAUAUUUCAACUUAAAAAAAUUACGUUGUUGGCAACAGAUCAUAAAAAUGGAAAAUAUAGAUUUCCUAAAUGGUACUGAAAUAUCCCCAUCUGCCCACAUUUACCUGUUAUUUAAGUUCCCAGUUUAAAUUAAACUUACUCAGCCUUCUCUUCAAUGUGCAGUGUUGUAGACACAUUCUAGCUUUUUAGUUCAGUGACCUCUGAGCAGUUAAGAUGUAAAUGGUGUGGGUGCCAUAACUUUGAUGACAAUUUAUUUUCAAACUAAAAUGGGGAGGGGGAUUAGCCUCAUUCGACCAUUCUGGUCUUGCCAGUUUACAUUCUGUUUCGCUGCACAUGAGAGCUCAGCGGUCAGGAUGGUGGAUCAGGAUAUGAAGGAGGGGGGUGGCUCCCCCUCUUUUAUAAGCCCCUCCUCUAUAAAACCCUUGAGGUACAGUAAAUACAAAGUCCUAUGCUUUUUUUUGCUCUGUAUGAAAUGCUCUCUUCGGUAAAAAGAAAAACCAAGCAGAAUAAAUGGACUUCAACCUUUGGCAACACUGGGUGUUAUUGACUACAGGUAGUCACGGACAUUGAUAUUUUUGCUCUUGUAUCCAGGUUCUGUGUUGUAGUCAGUGCUACUGUGAGGGGGGCAGAGAGGCCUGCAUUCUCCUGCAGCAGUCAGACAGUCUACAGGUCACAUACCGAGAAAAACAAUUCUCAGAGAUAACUUGGUGAUUGGAGCUGUGAACAGUGGUGGAUGGUGGAUUCUGGGGAUGCUGGGAUGUAUUCUCUGAGCACCUCUGUACCAUCUACAUUUUACUAACUUUAAACAGAAAAUGAUGUGUUAGUCAGAGCAUCUGGGUAGCGUGAGAACAGAACUGUAAGUCUACAGGGUGGUUUGAGUCAGGAGGAGAAGUGUGAAGUGACAUUAAAACAUCAUGCUUUCACUUCUUCUGUUCUGCUGUUACUAAUGCACUGGGGCAAAACUUGGUAAAGUAACACACAUGACCCGACCAGCAGUCACAACUUCUUAAUCAUGGCAUUGUCUCUCUGUGAUGUACAGGACCUGUUGGUGUGGAUACACAGGGAUCUGCAAAUUAAGAUGUAAGUACAACAAAUAUAAUUAUAUUACUUUGUCUAAAUAAUUGUAUGGCACUCAUUUCAGAACCUUGAUGUCAUUUUUCAAAACUCGAGACACAAAACUCACAACCGAUGAUCAAAAUGCACAUUAUUCAAAACUCUAACACUUUUUCCAAUUGCUUGGAUACAAUACACAUAAAGCUAAGAUAAUUUGUUCAUUGAACUAAAAUCACCUGUUCAAAAUGACACAACUUAACAUCAAAGUAUUACCAUUUCAAAAUGCAAUUCACACAUUACAUCUGAGAUGACUGUCUAUUCAUUUCAUUACAAUGAUCUAACUAUCAAUUGAUACAACUGCUCAAAAUGAUAAGUAAAUGUUGCAUUACUCUUAAUGCAUAGUUUUAUGGAAACUGACGAACAAUAUUCCAUGUUUAGAUCAUGAAAGUUUCAGGAUAACGAGAUCCAUUGACACCAAUUACCGUGGAUCAUGAACCAAUUGGACUACAUUAUCUAUGGAUGUAAUAUUUCAUCAUCAUUCUUUAUCGGACACUGUUCUAUGGUCCUUUUACCACUUUUCCAGACCAUGUUUUCAGGUUUGACAUUACUGUACACUCACCGGCCACGUUAUUAGGUACACCAAUCUAGUACCGGGUAGGACUCCCUUUUGCCUCCACAACAGCCCGAGUUAUUCACGGUGUUGUACAUUAGGAGAUGCCCUUCUCCACACCACUGUUUUAAAUGGCUGUAAUUUGGGCAUUUGUGGCCUUUCUGUUAGCUUGAAUGAGUCUGGACACUCUCCUCUGACCUUUCUCAUUAACAAGGUGUUUUUGCCCACAGAACUGCCGCUCGCUGAAUGUGUUUUGUUUAUCGCACCAUUCUCUGUAAACUCUAGAGACUAGUGUGUAAAAAUCCCAGGAGGGCAGCUGUUUCUGAGAUGCUGGAACCACCAUGUGUGGCACCAACAAACAUACCACGGUCAAAGUUGCUGAGAUUACGCAUCUUGCCCAUUCUAAUGUUUGGUCGAACAACAACUAAAGCUCUCUACUCUAUAUGUUGAGUUGCAGGCAGCCACAUGAUUCGCUGUUCGAAGGAGCAGGCUAUUUGCAUUAACAUGCAGGUGUACCUAAUAAAGUGGCCAGUGUGUGUAUGUAUGCAGGCCCUUGUAAUUGUUUUCCCAAUACUGACAACUCGUUACUGAUGAUUGAUUUCACAUUGUGGUCUGAGUAUAUAGUGAAAUGAGUGGUAUCCACCUACAACAACAUAGCGAUAACAUGGGGCCAGCAGGUGAUCCAGGUCACAAUAGAGGUCAAGCAGUGGGAGGAGGAAGACGAGGAAGACGUAGUGGUCAAAGGAAUGGCAGGGGACAAGCACCGCUUCUGAGAGGUGGUCGUGGGCCUCGUUUGAGAGGUGUGAGGGAACAUGGUAGAGGACAAGACCAGGGACCAAGACAUCUGCAGCAAAAGCAAAGAGUGUCCAAUGAAAUCCGAGCAAUAGUUGUAGACCAUGUGGUAAAUCAUGGCAAAACAAUGACUGAGGCAGCUACAAUGAUUCCACCAAACCUCAGAAGAUCAAUCGUGGCCUCAAUCAUGAGAACUUUCCACAAUGAGAACUGAAUUGAGACUUGGCCAAAUAGUGGACGCAGAGGCAAAAUUCUGACUGACCAACAAGAGCGGGCUGUGGUCAAUUUAGUUCGGGCCAGAAAUUAUAAUCGCCUUACAGAAAUUCGGCAGAACAUCAUGGACUAUGAUGACAUGUUCAACAAUGUGGAAGCCAUAAGUUUGCAGACUAUUGCACGCAUGCUGAAAAGGCACCAGGCGUCUCUAAAACAGCUAUGCCGUGUGCCUUUUGAAAGAAAUGCAGACAGAGUGAAGCAACUGAGGACUGAAGGGUGAUGGAUCUGGAUGCUGAUGAAAACCUUCACAAAUUCCUCUUUUUGGAUGAGGCAGGCUUCAACCUGGCCAAGACAAGGAGGAAUUUCAUUGGCCAGAGGGCAACCAUCCAAGUACCUGGACAACGUGGGGCCAACAUCACCAUGUGUGCGGCUAUAUCGGAAGAUGGUGUGGUGGGACACAGACCUCGCAUUGGCUCAUAUAAUGCAGCUCUCCUUGUGUAACCUUCUUGAUGAGCUAAAUCAGGUCUGUAGAGAUGAUGGCGUGACCUAUGUCAUUGCGUGGGACAAUGUCAGGUUCCACCAUGCUCAAAUGGUGCAAGCAUGGUUUCAGGCCCAUCCACAAUUUACCACCCUGUACUUACCCCCAUACUCUCCUUUCCUUAACCCGAUUGAGGAAUUUUUCUCCACAUGGAGGCGGAAGGUAUAUGAUAGGCGCCCUCACGAACAAGCCACCCUUCUCCAGGCCAUGGAUGACACAUGCAAUGACAUCACGGCAGACCAGUGUCAGGCCUGGAUUCACCAUGCCCGAAGAUUCUUCCCAAGAUGCUUGGCCAAUGAAAACAUCCAUUGUGAUGUGGAUACGAACCUGUGGCCAAAUCCACAAUUGAUGGAAAUAUAGAAGUACAGUAAUCAAUACUUUGUUUUGCUUUUUACAGUAAGCCAGUUGACAUUUUACUGUAGUGUUUUUCUUUUUUGUAGCUAAUUAUUUUUGCUUUGAUUCAAGGAAACCUAUGUUGUGAUUUUAUUGUAUUUCAUCAAUAAAUUUCAGAUUUUGUUCAAUGAUUCCACUGUGUCUGUAGUAUUCUCUCUACUAGUCCUUUUACAGUGAAGUAUUUACGUGUAGUACCAUAAUGAAACACGUAUCACAUAUUUUGUACUACAAUAUUUUAUGAUUGUAUGAACAACUACACAGUGAAACUAUCGGCAUCUUGUGUGUGGGUGAUCUAAAUGAAUGUUCCUAUGGUAUUUCAUGAUAAUCGUUAUUUGAACCAAUGCAAGGUUUCUUUAAAGAUAUGAAGGCACAAUCCAUCUUUUUGAACAUUGGACAGCCUGUGUUACAAGUGAUGACCGUUUUGAGUUUUAUGUCUAGAGUUUUGAAAAAUGACCACAAGAUUCUGAAAUUAGUGCCAAAGGGAUUGUAAAAAACUGUAAAUAGCCAUCACUAAUUGGCUUCCACCCGGUUACGCAACCCUGCACCUUAGAGGCUGCUGCCCUAUAUACAUAUACUUGGAGUCACUGGCCACUUUAAACAUGGAACACUAGUCACUUUAAUAAUGUUUGAAUAGUGUUUACAUACUGCUUUACUCAUCUCAUAUGUAUAUACUGUAAUCUAUUGUACUGUAUUUUAGUUAAUGCCACUCCAACAUUGCUAAUUAUAUAUUUCUUAAUUACAUUAUUUUACUUUUAGAUGAGUGUGUAUUGUUGUGAAUUGUUAGAUAUUACUUUACUCUUGGAGCUAGAAACACAAGCCUUUCUCUACGCAGGGAUCCGGGGCCAUACUUCCCUUUUAGCUUUUUGCGUCUUUUCCCCACUAAAUGCUAAAUUGAACAUUUCUUUUGGAAAAGACAAUCACUCUAUUACUAAAAUAAUUGACUGUACUUUCUUCUAUUCUGUCACCUGUGCUAUAAACUAAUUUGUGUCACUUCACUCCUUCCAUAAUGCAAAAUAAAAUAUCUGUGGAGUCAAAAUCGAUAAAAACAGACACCUUAAAAUCACACUUCCGUCAAUAAAUGUCUCCCAUAUUCACA
RNAcentral lists this long non-coding RNA (4887 nucleotides) under Salmo salar (Atlantic salmon). Its description in RNAcentral is "lncRNA (ENSSSAG00000115456.1)". The record is from RNAcentral. Lineage: Eukaryota; Metazoa; Chordata; Actinopteri; Salmoniformes; Salmonidae.